This is a long non-coding RNA of Homo sapiens (human), 854 nucleotides long. Ensembl annotates it as long intergenic non-protein coding RNA 705. The record is from Ensembl. NCBI's taxonomy places the organism in Eukaryota, Metazoa, Chordata, Mammalia, Primates, Hominidae.
CAGCUUUUUGGAUUGGCUCACAGUUUUCCUACUUUUCUGUCCUGUCAGUUGAGAAGAAUACAUUUCAAGAGAUGCUCUUGGAAAACACGUUUGAUGGAGAGGUUGAUUUUUGUAACCUGUAUGCCGUAGUCAGAAGAGCCGUCCUCUGGCAGAUAUGUGAAAGAACUGCCUAUGAGGAGCGAGAGGCUACUUCGCACACCUCGCAGCUCAGGUCCCCGGAGACGGCUUUACAGGCACACAAGCCCCUCUCCCAAGCCAUCUGCCAGGAGCCCCAUGAGGAACACAGCACAGCGCCUGCAUCAGAAGCCCAUGGGUUUGCCUAUCACAUGUCUUGUUUUCUCCUGAUCCGUGGCUCACAGGCUCAGUGUGACCCAACCUCCUAGAUUUCCCCAUCAGUGCUAUUUGCAGUGCCCCCAAGCACUUUCCUCCACUCCAGUCCCUGAGCGCAUGCCAACGGCCCUAUUUUCAGCCACCCCUCUCCAUGCCUCUUGUCUGUCUCUAGCUGACAAGCAGAUUAUCUCUUCUGUCCACUUUGUUUGCCAAUGUACUUUGGCACCAUUGAAUUCCAACACAUGAAGUAAACUGAACUGUGUACAACGCUGAGCACACACGUGGUUUGGAGAGCAGCCCCUUGUCAGGAUCCAAAAUGUUCCCAAGCCUUGUUGAUAUUUGGGUCACUGCAGAUCUCUGAGUCCCCCUUCCUUUUUAAUCUUCUUCCCCUCAACUCAUUCUCAAUUUCUCUCUCUGAAACCACCUGUGAACACACUUAUGCAUUCAAAUAGAUGCAUACUGUUCAUGCUUAUAUUUUUCUGUAACCGUCAUAUCUAAUAAAUACUUAUCAUCCAGGAAAAAAA